GAUAAUUUGAAGAUGGCCUAGGCUUAGCUUGUUCUUGUUUUAAUCCAACAAGGCAAUGAGAGCUCCCUACAGCGGUCACGUAAACCCACGUGAAUUAGCCCCGUCACCAAAGCUCACAAACACGUCCCGCCAUGAAGACAAACUAAGCAGUCAGUCUUGUCUGUGUUAUUUUAGUUUGUGGUUUUGAUUUAGACACACAGCGGCGUCAACAACGACAAAAACAACAUUGUCAUGUUCGCCUAAGACAUGAACUGACCACGAGUGUACGACGGCGAUGUAAAUAUCGUCUUCCCGGAACACGGAACAUGAGAAGGUUGUGAUUAGAAAUCUUUUAAGUCGGUGUUCGGACAAAAAUAUCUCCUUGAUAAUUGGUAUAGAAUUGGCACAUAGGUGCUUAUGGCCACGUGAAUACAUAUUCUUUCUUGACAAUUUAGAAUCAUACAUUCAGACUGGACUCCCAGAAGAAGAAGAAAUUGCAUUGCAAAAUGCAAGAUUGGCAGUACCAAAAUAUUCAUAAAAUAAAAACUAUACAAUGCCUAUGAGACACAUGACACAGUAUGUAUAUAAUAUGCAUAAUACAAUGCAUAUAUAGGUUAAAAUGUAGAUGCAAGUGUGGUUUUUUUAAACAGGAAAGCCCACGAAAAACGGCCGAAAGCUUUUAUUGAAAAAAACCCAGUAACACAGUUUGACAUUUGGCGCUACUCUAUCACUUACUGCAACGUCAAGUUAACCACGUUACAAUGUUUAGACUGUCUGGGCAUCAAUACCAUUUAUACCUAAACGAACCAGUUUAGUUUAUCCUAAUUAUGUUUGCUUUUAUAUUUUAUACCUUUUGAAAAUGGCAUGAUAUGGCGAAAUCUACCCCCAGAUAUCAUAAACUACCGGGCAAACGAACGUAUACACUUGAAAAUUUGAUUUGACCCCUAAAUUACAAAUGUCAUCAGAACGUUAUUAGACUGACCUUGUUGUGAUAUACUCAUUGAUAUGAUGCAUGCACUAUCGCCUAGGUAGCCGUAUCAAAUACAUCACCGUCGAAUAACGAUUUCUUGUUUGUUUAAUUUUCAGCCACCUUCAAACAUUGGUGUAUACUUUCUUUCUUACCUUAGAGCUCUAUGAUAAUUACCGCACAACGUUAUUUCGGGUAUGUCUUAUGCGUGUUUCGUUGUUUUAGACUGAACUAUUAUCAGGACAUGGUAUUUCGUUUAUACGCGCCCUGGUGCUUAUUCUUGGACCAAGCUUCCAAACCCGGCGGAUAAUGGAGACCUGGCGUCGCCUUUUACGGCAAGGAUGGAUUGCUGAAGACCUAGGCUACCCCGGAUCUUCAAGGAUGAUGGGGUGUCAGCUACCUUUGCUCAUUUCCUCGUUGAUCCAGUCAAGAAUUUCUUGUUCCGCUGUCAAAGUCAGCCGCCAUUUUGGUUUGAGAACGAAGCGACCUCAGCCAGCGAUUGUUUCGCUUGCAAGCGGCUGAAAGUUAGCGCACUGCUGUAACAUCGCGCCCCCUACACUAACUAUGACGUCACACUUAUAUGACGUCACAACAAACGCUCCGUCACUAAGACUCCUGUGAUCAAGACGUCUUAUAAUUGUUGAUGACAGUGUAUGUACAUGAUGACUCAAGGCAGUCUCCACAGCGCCCCAUUGGUGUAUGUCCUUGUCAACAAGGGAGUGAAGGCAAUGCGUACCGGGCUCCACAACAUUGCCGACAACAGUGAGCGAUGCCGCCUUCCACCCGAGUGUCGCGCAUCAAUGACAUCACAUCAAACCAGGAACAUGGCACGGUCCAA
This 1784-nucleotide long non-coding RNA is filed under the name Haliotis rufescens (red abalone). RNAcentral's name for it is "uncharacterized LOC124122760". Lineage: Eukaryota; Metazoa; Mollusca; Gastropoda; Lepetellida; Haliotidae. The record is from RNAcentral.